RNAcentral lists this ribosomal RNA (503 nucleotides) under uncultured bacterium. RNAcentral describes it as "partial 16S ribosomal RNA". It matches the Rfam family "Bacterial small subunit ribosomal RNA", at positions 30 to 523 of the family's 1533-position model. The record is from RNAcentral.
AUUGAACGCUGGCGGCAGGCUUAACACAUGCAAGUCGAGCGGAGUGAUGGUGCUUGCACUAUCACUUAGCGGCGGACGGGUGAGUAAUGCUUAGGAAUCUGCCUAUUAGUGGGGGACAACAUCUCGAAAGGGAUGCUAAUACCGCAUACGUCCUACGGGAGAAAGCAGGGGAUCACUUGUGACCUUGCGCUAAUAGAUGAGCCUAAGUCGGAUUAGCUAGUUGGUGGGGUAAAGGCCUAACAAGGCGACGAUCUGUAGCGGGUCUGAGAGGAUGAUCCGCCACCCUGGGACUGAGACACGGCCCAGACUCCUACGGGAGGCAGCAGUGGGGAAUAUUGGACAAUGGGGGGAACCCUGAUCCAGCCAUGCCGCGUGUGUGAAGAAGGCCUUAUGGUUGUAAAGCACCUUAAGCGAGGAGGAGGCUCUUUUGGUUAAUACCCAAGAUGAGUGGACGUUACUCGCAGAAUAAGCACCGGCUAACUCUGUGCCAGCCGCCGCGGUAA